This 446-nucleotide ribosomal RNA is filed under the name uncultured bacterium. RNAcentral describes it as "bacterial SSU rRNA". It matches the Rfam family "Bacterial small subunit ribosomal RNA", at positions 15 to 500 of the family's 1533-position model. The record is from RNAcentral.
GAUCCUGGCUCAGAACGAACGCUGGCGGCAUGCCUAACACAUGCAAGUCGAACGCUUGUCUUCGGACAAGAGUGGCGCACGGGUGAGUAGCGCGUGGGAACCUGCCCUGUUGUGGGGGAUAACCGAGGGAAACUUCGGCUAAUACCGCAUGCGCCCGGGAAACCGGGGAAAGAUUUAUCGCCGAAAGAUCGGCCCGCGUCUGAUUAGCUAGUUGGUGAGGUAACGGCUCACCAAGGCGACGAUCAGUAGCUGGUCUGAGAGGAUGAUCAGCCACAUUGGGACUGAGACACGGCCCAAACUCCUACGGGAGGCAGCAGUGGGGAAUAUUGGACAAUGGGCGCAAGCCUGAUCCAGCCAUGCCGCGUGAGUGAUGAAGGCCCUAGGGUUGUAAAGCUCUUUUGUGCGGGAAGAUAAUGACGGUACCGCAAGAAAUAAGCCCCGGCUAA